Molecule: ribosomal RNA, 322 nt
Filed under: uncultured eukaryote
Lineage: Eukaryota
Description: partial 18S ribosomal RNA
Rfam family: Eukaryotic small subunit ribosomal RNA
Source: RNAcentral
CCCUUAGAUGUUCUGGGCCGCACGCGUGCUACACUGAGUGGAUCAGCGGGUCAGGUUGCGCGAAAGUGUUUCCUAAUCUUGAAAUCCGCUCGUGAUGGGGAUUGACGGUUGCAAUUUUCCGUCAUGAACGAGGAAUACCUUGUAAGCGCGGGUCAUCAUCCCGCGCUGAAUACGUCCCUGCCCUUUGUACACAUCGCCCGUCGCUCCUACCGAUUGAGUGGUCCGGUGAGGCUUUGGGAUCUGAGCGGAAAGAGCGUUUCGCUGUUUCUGCUCGGAAAACUCAGUCGAACCUUAUCAUUUAGAGGAAGGAGAAGUCGUAACA